GUGUCACGUAAAACAUGUCAGACCAAAGAUGUUAUAAUGAGGUGAAGGAAUGGUUCACUCUUUCGUGUAACCUUCCGGAAGUGAAUGAUCGUAGACGACACACGUGUGUAAAAUGCAUACUGUAAACAGAUCAAACUCAUCUUGUCUCCUCUUAUUAUCUUCGGUUGACGCGAAAAGAAAAAACAUGGCGGCGCGGUCAAACUACCCAUCGUCAGAUAACUUUCGAUUUCUAGAAAGUGUUUUACUCAAUUAUUUCAAUCAAUGGUGAGCUCACCCGUGAUGUAAUGAAUUAUAAAUAGUAAUUGCUAUUAGCUAAUUCACAUUGUGGUUUGUGUCAGCCGAGAGUUAUCUAAAUAUGACCGCUUGUAUUAUGUAAAUCUUUCCUCAGUUAGUAGGCUGGACACAUUACAUUUUUAACAACGCAUUUUUUCUGAUAAGAACUAGUUCAUUGCAUCUGCCGUGGAGCCCAGUUUCAUAUUAUUACCAUAUGUCCCAGCUGCUUGCCUUAGUUUUGAAGUAAUCACGAAAAAACAGGCCUUAUUUUAUGGCAUUUUUCACCCUGACAGGAGAUAGAAGCAGAGUCUACAGACAGUGCAGGGUGGAGAGCAGUUCAGUAAGUCCUGCAGAGUCUUCACAAACUGAAGAGGAAGAGGCCCAUCAAGAAUAUGGAAUCUCCACUUCAAGACGCCGAUCACCCGCUCUUUAUCAAAAUGCACAUUCAUAUUUUCAUAAUAUUAUUUUGAUUCAAGAAAUACAAUACAUGGCCAAAAGUAUGUGGACACCUGCUCUCAUUCCAAAAUCAAGGGCAUUAAUAUGGAGUUGGUCUGCCC
This is a long non-coding RNA of Coregonus clupeaformis (lake whitefish), 830 nucleotides long. RefSeq lists it as uncharacterized. The record is from RefSeq and is a predicted model, not a curated record. The transcript has 3 exons. NCBI's taxonomy places the organism in Eukaryota, Metazoa, Chordata, Actinopteri, Salmoniformes, Salmonidae.